RNAcentral lists this ribosomal RNA (432 nucleotides) under uncultured bacterium. RNAcentral's name for it is "partial 16S ribosomal RNA". It matches the Rfam family "Bacterial small subunit ribosomal RNA", at positions 29 to 507 of the family's 1533-position model. The record is from RNAcentral.
ACGAACGCUGGCGGCAUGCCUAACACCAGCAAGUCGAACGAGACCUUCGGGUCUAGUGGCGCACGGGUGCGUAACGCGUGGGAACCUGCCCUUAGGUUCGGAAUAACUCCCCGAAAGGGGUGCUAAUACCGGAUAAUGUCUUCGGACCAAAGAUUUACCGCCUUUGGAUGGGCCCGCGUUGGAUUAGCUAGUUGGUAGGGUAAAAGCCUACCAAGGCGACGAUCCAUAGCUGGUCUGAGAGGAUGAUCAGCCACACUGGGACUGAGACACGGCCCAGACUCCUACGGGAGGCAGCAGUGGGGAAUAUUGGACAAUGGGCGAAAGCCUGAUCCAGCAAUGCCGCGUGAGUGAUGAAGGCCUUAGGGUUGUAAAGCUCUUUUACCCGGGAUGAUAAUGACAGUACCGGGAGAAUAAGCUCCGGCUAACUCCGUG